This 3694-nucleotide unclassified non-coding RNA is filed under the name Hevea brasiliensis (rubber tree). Lineage: Eukaryota; Viridiplantae; Streptophyta; Magnoliopsida; Malpighiales; Euphorbiaceae. The record is from RNAcentral.
AAUAAAAAAAAAAAAAAAAAGAAAUUUCAAAUGUUCCAUUUUACUUUAUUGAUGUUGAAUAUUAUCAAGUGAUGUUUCUUUUGUAACUAUCUGCCAGUUGCCUAAUAAUUUUACUUAGAAAAGUGUGCUUAGAUGUGCAUGUUUGCAGACUUGCUUUGCUGAAUCUCUUCUAUUAUGAAUAUGGAAAAAUGUAGGUAUUAUAUCUGAUGUUUCAGAACUUCCUGCAGGCCUAGUUAUUGUUCAAUAAUGGCGCCAAAUCCCAGAGUUAUGAAUGCCUUUCGUGCAAUGAAGGCAAUUGGCAUAAAUGAAGAUAAAGUAAAACCAGUUUUGAAAAGACUUUUAAAAUUAUAUGACAAGAAUUGGGAACUGAUUGAAGAAGAAAAUUAUAGAGUGCUUGCUGAUGCCAUAUUUGAUGAGGACGAUUCUAAGGGAGAAAAUUUUACUGAUGAAGCAGAGGUGCAUGAUGAACCUGAGCGACCGUUAAAAAGAUUGCGAUCAAGAAGCCAAGAAGGGCAGUCUUCUCAAUCUAUGAUGGGUGGAACUUCAUUAAGAAAACCUAAAUUGGAUGAUGAAGGGAAGCUGGGCGCAAAUUCUCUGCAGCGAUCACCAGACAUGAUGAAGUUGCAACCUGGGCCUUCUGAUUCACAGUCGACUCAGGUGCGGCAUGCGUACAAGGGAAAAGAACCUUUGUUACCUCAAGUAUCUCCUAGAGAGAAGAGACCUAUUGUAGAGAGGCCAUCUCAUGGAGUGCAGUUCAAAGAUCGCGAAGUUGAUCCAGACAGUGUACUAAUACCAAAACAAAAGGUGGUUGAUUCUUAUGCUCUGAUCAAGCCUAAAGAUGAGCCAUUUACUGAUGACUUGCCUCCUGAUGACGUACCUCGUUAUGAGGCUCCUAUUGCUGUGAUCCGACCAGAUUCCUUUAGCAAAGAAGAUAUUUCAGGUAGGAGUUUUUUAACAGGAAAGCCAGAUGAUCAGGAGCCUCCAGCAUCCCAUUUUGGAACUGAAGAAGAUAGAGGUGACAGUGUUCCAGCUUCAUCAAGUAGCCGAAGAGCCAACUCUGAGCUUGCACCUGUUCUGGAGGAAUCUCCUGCUAACUUAGAGAUUGCCUCCUCGUCAUUGGGAGAGGUGAAGAUUUCUUUGAGCUGCAACUCUUUGCUUGGAAGACCAAAUUUUCACAUGCCUAGUCAAGAUGAACUUCUGAAAUCAACGCAGGAGAAGUGUCUCCGGUCUUAUAAAAUUUUUGAUCCUAACUUUUCUGUCAUGCAAAUGCUGAAAGAUAUGUGUGACUGCUUCCUGGAAUUGGCUACUGAUUCCUCUCGUGAAUCGCAGGAAAGGUUAAUGAAUGUAAUUCCAUCUAUCAGUGCAUUGAAGAGAUCAGCUGCAUACAGUGCUUUGGGUGUUGGGGGCGUUAAAGGAAGUAAUUGUAUACCAGUUAAUAUUUCAAAUGGAUCAAUUGAUAUACAUUGCUCUUCUGAGGUGGCUGCACCUCAAAUGCCAAGGCAAAUAAAACCUAUCAGUGAGGACACCCAUUGUAGUGCGAAUGGUUCUACUGAAAGUAAUGGAGGACGGGAAUUGAGAGACCCUGAGUCAUGUAGUUUGGUGGUUGUUCCACAGCAUCAGCUCACUUUUGAGGAACUAAGAUCUCUUCAUGACUUCAAUGACAUAACUAAGGGAGAAGAAGUAAUUGAGAUUUCAUGGUUAAAUGAAAUCAACAAUGAGUGUCCUCCUCCUUUUAUGUACAUACCUCAAAACGUGGUUUUUCAAAAUGCUUAUUUGAGAUUCACUCUUUCUCAAAUUAAUGCUGAAGAUUGCUGUUCUACUUGUAUUGGUGAUUGUCUAUCCUCAACCACAAUUUGUGUUUGUGCCUGUGAAACUGGAAACGAGUUUGCAUACACAUCAGAAGGCCUCAUUAGAGAGGAUUUCUUGGAAGAGUGUAUCUCUAUGACCCGUGAUCCUCAACGACAAUGCCUCUCCUAUUGUAAAGCUUGCCCCCUUGAAAGAUCAAAAAAUGAUGAGAUCUUGGAACCAUGCAAGGGUCACUUGAAGAGGAAAUAUAUUAAAGAAUGUUGGAGUAAAUGCGCCUGCCAUAAGCGGUGUGGCAAUCGAGUUGUGCAGCGGGGUAUAAGGUGCAAAUUGCAGGUUUUCUUUACUCCUGAAGGAAAGGGAUGGGGCCUUAGAACCCUUGAAAAGCUGCCAAAAGGGACAUUUGUGUGUGAAUACAUUGGAGAAAUACUGACCAACAAAGAGUUGCAUGAGAGAAAUGUACAGAGGACAAGAGGCACCAACAAUGAGUGGCAUACCUAUCCAGUUCUAUUGGAUGCAUAUUGGUUCUUGAAAGGAGCUUUGAAGGAGGAAGAAGCUCUUUGUUUGGAUGCAACAUUCUAUGGGAAUGUUGCCAGGUUUAUCAAUCAUAGGUGCCUUGACUCAAAUUUGAUUGAGAUCCCAGUCAAGGUGGAGACCCCAGAUCAACAUUAUUAUCACCUUGCCUUCUUCACAGCAAGAGAAGUAAAUGCCUUAGAAGAGCUAACUUGGGAUUAUGGUCUCGACUUUGAUGACGAUGAUCAUCCUGUGGAGGUGUUCAAGUGCCUAUGUAGCAGCAAGUUCUGCAGGAACAUGAAACGUCCAAAUAGUAAGUUCAUUCUGAAGCUUUAUGGGCCUUAUGGCGGGCAAUUUGGAAUUUUUACCUUUUUCCUGAAAGUAAUUAUUUAGUUUGAGCUUUGCAUGUUCUGUGUGUGUGCAAUUAAUUUCUUCAUGACUGUUGAGUACUUAAGCAUUGGCUAGGUUUGAGAUCCAAAAUUAUGGUUUCUAGGUUCAAUCAUAGCCUACCAAAAUUAACUUGAUUGAUGCUGGUGGUUGAUCACCUGUUUUAAGUUCACAAUUAAUUACGACUCAUUAGAGUGGGGACUGUUCCUUUUUGCAUACCAAUAAGCUGUGUAAGCAGUGAAGAAACCUGUGAAUGAAAUUUCUCAAGGAAAACCAUUAUUCUGGAAGUCAUCACUGAUACUGUUCCUUUUCGCAUGCCGAUAAGCUGUGUAAGCAGUGAAGAAACCUGUGAAUGAAAUUUCUCAAGGAAAACCAUUAUUCUGGAAGUCAUCACUGAUACUGUUCCUUUUCGCAUGCCGAUAAGCUGUGUAAGCAGUGAAGAAACCUGUGAAUGAAAUUUCUCAAGGAAAACCAUUAUUCUGGAAGUCGUCGCCGAUGCCCAGCAUACCCAUCCAGCGCUAUUGAUUAGUUUGUCAACUUUUGUGGUGCUUCUGCUCUUGGUCACCCAUUUUCGCAUGUUUGCCCACUGAUGAGCAGCUUUCUCUGUGCAGGGUCUAAAUCUGCAUUGAGAUGACUAGAUACAUGGAGAUUACAAGACUCCUUUUUGCUGUUAUGUUCUCUCUCCUGACAAGGAGGAAAUUUCAUGGAAUGGAUUUUACUGCAACUUCUAUCAGUUCUAGCAACUAUGUUGUCAGCUGAUGCAGAUUAGGGUGUUAUUCUGUGAUAUGUACAUAACGAACAUCUGUGUUUUUGACCUUGUAGCUUCAUCUCAGACAAUCCAGCUUCUCAAGUUCUAUUAUUGGAACAAGUGUCAGUGUAGAUUAAACAACAUCCAGUAGAUGAUUAUGAAAGUUAAAUAACAAAAUAAAAUAAAAACAACAAAAAAUUAAAAUCUUUAAAAAUAGAAAAUUAAAAAGCAAUAGAAAUUUUG